This is a long non-coding RNA of Brachypodium distachyon (stiff brome), 2259 nucleotides long. RefSeq lists it as uncharacterized. Lineage: Eukaryota; Viridiplantae; Streptophyta; Magnoliopsida; Poales; Poaceae. The record is from RefSeq and is a predicted model, not a curated record. The transcript is spliced from 2 exons.
CGUUGCCACAGGCCGACCAGCCACGUCCUCGCCAAGCCGCCGCCGUACGCCUCUCGAAGCCAGAUCUUUCACCAGAGCGACCGCCUAAGUGUCCCUGAGCUUAUCCCUUCACCCGUGCUCUCUUCGACGCGCCGAGGGCGGCGAAAUCGUCCUCGAGCUUCUUCCUGGCUGCUUCUUCUCUCGUCCUUGGCGACGCCGUGAAACUCGUCGUCGAACUCGAGACCUAUGCAACGAGACCUCCUAGCCGCGCCGCACCUAGCGUCGCAAGCCGUAGCUCCUGGAGUGCUUCCUGCAGGCCGGAACGCGAGCAGCAUGCCGCUGCGUCCAGAGCACGUCCGCGCGCCGCCACCUCGCGCCACCGUGGUCGUAGCCCUCCCCAGGCCGCGUAACCUUGCCCUAAAGCUCCGCCUCGUCGCGGUGAUCCUCCGUUCUGAAGGAAUCGUCCCCAAACUCCGGUAAUCGCCGCCAUCAAGCUCAUCUUCUCCAACUCCGGCCUCCCGCCGCCGCCGUGUCGAUCUCCUCCGCCGGUGAUCCCCGGACUUCACCGAGACCCUCCCUAGAUCCGCGCAGACGUGUAGAACCUGUUGGUUCUCUUCAUCGAGCCCCGGUCGCCCCGAGCCGUCCCCGCGCCGUCCCUCUGCAUCGGCCGCCGCCCGCCGCCGACGAGCUCGACCGUGCGGUGCUCCUCCAGUCCGUCCGAGCCCUGCAGAAGCUUCGUGGAUCCGGAGAUGAUGUGAGUACCAAGCAAGAGCUGAACAGUGCUGAGGCCGUGCCAAAGCACUGGACAUCAGGCAAGCAGCCCCCUCCUUUGACCAUGUUGAAUCCCGUUACUUUCAAAUUACAUUUGCUUUCAAUUGUUAUAGAUGCAUUCGAUUCAAUUGUUAUUUUCCGUCAGAUUGAGAGUUAGGCCUAUCCUUUGCAUAAGCUUGUUAUCUGAAACCUUAAUGCCAUGUUACCUUCCACAUCCCAGCAUGACUAGCUAGAAUUGCUUGUUGUAGUUUAGCAAGCCUUUAUUUUAUGUGCUAUAUGCUUAGCCAUGCUUAGACUUAUUGAGUUGAUACAUCAAUUGGAUUGAUGAAUCUAGUUAUGUGGUGGAUAAACUUGACUAGGAUGGGUAACAGGGCAGUCAGAAGGCAGAGGCAUGUAAAUCUGAACAGUUAAAAGCUUAGGUGAGAGGCCAUGUUGGAGAGCGUGGUGGGUUGUCUCAUCUUUGUUGUUUAAGGACCGGUUUCUGGUUACACUGAUCCAAGAACCACACAUUGGGUUAUGGGGCCCGCAUCGACCUAGCAUGACUAGACUUUUGGUCCAUGAGCUACAUUUAGUUCGAGCUUUCUUGAUGAGAGUAAAAGAGAAAGGGAGUGAGUAAGGGUGGCUAUGCAAGGCUUCUCCGGGAGAAUGGUUUCUUGCCCCGCACACAACUUUUGGGACCAUGUCCGAGGGACUGUCAGACUCGUGAUUAUAGAACGGACCAUUAGGUGGCUGAUGGAUUAGGUCGAAGCAUUGCAAUAGUCGUGGACAACCUCCUUCUGACACACACUUUGAGUGUGUUGCAAGUACCGGCAUUGGCAGACGGUUGGCGUGUGUGGGUAAAGUUAUACACCCCUGCAGGGUUCAAUCUAUUCGAAUAGCCGCGUCCUCGGUUAUGGACGACUUGGAGAUCUGUACUUGAAUUAGAUAACUUGAAUAAAGUCUAAAACUGGAUAACAACAGGGUGUCGCUACGAAUGGCUUCCUCGGGGUUGGAACGAGGGGGUGUUCGUGGCACUGUUUGGGUGGUGUCAGUUAAGAUAGAGAGUACUCAAAGUUCGCUCUCUCAUCCUCUUUCAAAACUGCCCAGUAGUCGCUUUCAACUUAGUAGUCUAUUGAAAAGGGUCAAAACUAGCUUUGUGCAUCAAAUAGUCCACAUAAAGCCCUUGUCGAUACCUCCUUCAUCUAUUACUAUGUUGACGUAAGUCUUGCGGAGUACUUUUGUACUCAUCUUGCUUUAUUAUAAUGAUUUGGGUUCAGCGAAGAGCAUCCUUUGGAUGUUUCCUCCUGGAGAUCAACGACGAAUAUAGCUUGGAAGUCCCAACAGUGGUCUGGGAAGGGUGUGGUUGCCAUCUGCUUAACCUCAAGCCUUCUUAAGGCCUUUGUUAAGUUUGUACCUGUCAAAGGUACCUAUUUGUUUCCGUUGUGUGAGUUGCAACUUGGUCGUAAGAUCCUCGAUGUAAUAAGUUGUUAACUUUGCUCGAUUAAGAGUUGUUUGGUAUAUUACAGUUUC